CCUACGGGGAGCAGCAGUGGGGAAUAUUGCACAAUGGGGGGAACCCUGAUGCAGCGAUGCCGCGUGGAUGAAGAAGGAUUUCGGAUUGUAAACUCCUAUUAUCAGGGAAGAUAAUGACGGUACCUGAAGAAAAAGCUCCGGCUAACUACGUGCCAGCAGCCGCGGUAAUACGUAGGGAGCGAGCGUUGUCCGGAUUUACUGGGUGUAAAGGGAGCGUAGGCGGGACGGCAAGUCUGAUGUGAAAACGGGGGGCUCAACCUUCAGACUGCAUUUGAAACUGCUGUUCUUGAGUGAAGUAGAGGUAAGUGGAAUUCCUAGUGUAGCGGUGAAAUGCGUAGAUAUUAGGAGGAACACCAGUGGCGAAGGCGGCUUACUGGGCUUUUACUGACGUUGAGGCUCGAAAGCGUGGGGAGCAAACAGGAUUAGAUACCCGAGUAGUC
RNAcentral lists this ribosomal RNA (440 nucleotides) under uncultured bacterium. Its description in RNAcentral is "partial 16S ribosomal RNA". It matches the Rfam family "Bacterial small subunit ribosomal RNA", at positions 338 to 795 of the family's 1533-position model. The record is from RNAcentral.